UACGUAGGGUGCAAGCGUUAUCCGGAAUUAUUGGGCGUAAAGAGCUUGUAGGCGGUUUGUCGCGUCUGCUGUGAAAUUUCGGGGCUCAACCCCGAACUUGCAGUGGGUACGGGCAGACUAGAGUGUGGUAGGGGAGACUGGAAUUCCUGGUGUAGCGGUGAAAUGCGCAGAUAUCAGGAGGAACACCGAUGGCGAAGGCAGGUCUCUGGGCCUGUACUGACGCUGAGGAGCGAAAGCGUGGGGAGCGAACAGG
RNAcentral lists this ribosomal RNA (253 nucleotides) under uncultured bacterium. Its description in RNAcentral is "partial 16S ribosomal RNA". It matches the Rfam family "Bacterial small subunit ribosomal RNA", at positions 524 to 776 of the family's 1533-position model. The record is from RNAcentral.